Molecule: long non-coding RNA, 587 nt
Filed under: Gadus morhua (Atlantic cod)
Lineage: Eukaryota; Metazoa; Chordata; Actinopteri; Gadiformes; Gadidae
Description: lncRNA (ENSGMOG00000024499.1)
Source: RNAcentral
AUUUUCAUACAAUUGUAUCUCUCAUGAUAAUUUUGCCUCCUUACCUCAUUGUAGAAGGUGAACCAGCCAACUGCUCGGGUUGUCUCUGGACAGAGAAAACAAGAGGAGCCAACACCUUGGGGUCCAAAAGUUGUGAUGGCCCAGGCUGAUAAACCAACAGCCAAUGAGACCAGCUUCUUGGGGUGUUCAACCAAGAUGACACACAUUGAGGACCACGAGCCGUUUGAACCAGCACCUGAGGUCACUGCGAGCAGUCAGCAGCAGAGCCCGCCUGAGGACAAUGGCCAGCUUGAAGAUCCUCAUGUAACACUUGGCAAUCAGAAGGCACCCUGUGAUUUUGCACCUGCCGGAGCUGCUACAUCAAGUCAUGUGACUCAUGUGAAAAAGAACAUUCAUCAUAUUCUAAAACUAGGCAAUGGCUUAGUGUGUGUACACAUCUAUGCUAGAAAAUAAAGAAAUCAGUUCAGCCAAAACCAGUGGGCAUAUUUUCAUUUCCGAGUUACCCAGACACUGCAAAUUAAACAAUAAAUUAUUUAGUUUGGAAUAUUUUGAUACACUCGCUGGAAGUCUUGAUCAAAAGGAUGAUU